Molecule: long non-coding RNA, 750 nt
Organism: Nicotiana attenuata
Lineage: Eukaryota; Viridiplantae; Streptophyta; Magnoliopsida; Solanales; Solanaceae
Exons: 2
Source: RefSeq, a predicted model, not a curated record
UUAGAGAUACAUGCAAGGAAGGAUUCUUCCAUCCGAGAAUCACGCUAAAGAUCUUCCUUCCUUCCCUGUUUUUCAAGCGUAUCAAUUUAACAGAUCGUGACAUUCUCUCCCUCUGUAAAUCACGGCAUUCUCUCCCAAAAAAUUCUCAAAAGGAGCUCCAAAUUUCACUCAAAAUCGAUCAAUUUCACUAUACCCUUUCGCGAUUUUUGUGUAUAUACAGCUUUCGCGAUUUCUGUGUAGAAGGAACUACGAACUACAAUCAAAAUCAAUCAAGGAAUUGGUACUGCCUAGUAUGCAUCAACAACAACUGCGAUUGGUAUUUUAAGUUUUCGAGCCUGAAAAAAAGCAAAACUUUUCAAGGUCAAAAAUUUCAGCAAACUGCACUCAUGCCCGCUGAAAGACAGAUCUUACUCACAAUGUCAAGCUACUGCAAAACUCAUCGGCAGACUUCUGAUAGACAAGUAUAAAGACGCAAAAACAAUAUACACUCAUAGUGACAUAAUUGGAGACAUGAACAAGCAGUAUGGUCUUCAAAUGACAUAUAUGCAAGCAUGAAGAUCGAAAGAAUAUGCAGUUCAACUACUGAGAGGGAACCCGAGCGAAUCAUAUGAAAAGCUGCCAAGCUACUUUUAUAUGCUGGUUCUUACAAAUCCUAUGUCGGUGGUAAGUUUGAAAAAAAUAGAGGAAGACCUGUUCAUGUAUGCUUUCGUUGCACUAUAUCCGUCUAUAAAAGGAUGGCAGUAUUGCAAA